CCAUACAUGUACCACUGCUACAUGGUGCAGUAAAUUCAACACACAACCUACCCCUUAAACCCUAUGAGUUACAACAUAGGCACCUGCACUAUCAACUUCUCAUGACUACUAACGAACAUGUCACACAAGCAUACAAGUUCAAUGGAAUACUUAUAAUAGGAUUCUAAGCUCACAUUGUCAUAAUAGUUACCAUACAUGUCAUUCAUAUUAUCAAGAAGAUAAAUACACAUCUAUAUCACAAUAAGGCAUCCCAUACAUGUAGACUAAGAUAUAUAUAUUACUUGGGAUAAUUCACUAACUGAUAUUGCCUGACUAAGCCCUACUUGGUCUUUAGUAAUACUAAUUUUAGUAUUCAAGAACGAUUAAGAACAUUUUGAUCAAAAUCAAACCUAGUAGAUCAAUUAGGAAGAUCCGCCCACUAGAUUUUCAAUCCGUAAAUUCCUAAGGUCCUCAAAUAUUACAUAUAAUAACAUAUUAAAGUUUGGUAACGAUCUAACGGUCGGAUCAUCGAUUGUUAUAAUAUUCAAGUGGUGGUCUCUAACGAAAAUAUGUUCAAACGACGGGAUUUCAUCAAUCGGAUGACACAUAUUAACUCGAGGUAUUGAAUUUAGCAUAGAAAGAUAGAGUUGGCCCACUGGUUACUCACCGCCACAUGCGGCGGUUUCUGGCAAACGAAAACCCAAUUUUUUGACAAACUCCAAAAAAUUACCAAAUUUUAUAGAAAUGUAGAGCAAGUCAAGGGGAAUAAUUUUCAUACCUGGGUCAAAGUUCAAUUUGGCUA
Molecule: long non-coding RNA, 781 nt
Filed under: Malus domestica (apple)
Lineage: Eukaryota; Viridiplantae; Streptophyta; Magnoliopsida; Rosales; Rosaceae
Description: long non-coding RNA (MDOM_LNC007964)
Source: RNAcentral